Molecule: non-coding RNA, 28 nt
Filed under: Mus musculus (house mouse)
Lineage: Eukaryota; Metazoa; Chordata; Mammalia; Rodentia; Muridae
Source: RNAcentral
UGCUGGUGAAACUUCAUGAGUGUAGCUU